RNAcentral lists this transfer RNA (67 nucleotides) under Opisthoplatia orientalis. RNAcentral's name for it is "tRNA-Glu". Lineage: Eukaryota; Metazoa; Arthropoda; Insecta; Blattodea; Blaberidae. The record is from RNAcentral.
UUUAUGUAGUUUAAUUUAAAACUUUACAUUUUCACUGUAAAAAUAUUAUUAAAUAAUAAUCAUAAAA